GUGUGUGUGUGUGUGUGUGUGUGUGUGUGUGUGUGUGUGUGUGUGUGUGUGUGUGUGUGUGUGUGUGUGUGUGUGUGUGUGUGUGCUGUCACUACCCCAGAUGUGUGUGCUGUCACUACUCCAGAUGUGUGUGCUGUCACUACUCCAGAUGUGUGUGCUGUCACUACCCCAGAUGUGUGUGCUGUCACUACCCCAGAUGUGUGUGCUGUCUCUACCCCAGAUGUGUGUGUGUAUGUGCUGUCACUACCACAGAUGUGUGUGUGUGUGUGUGUGUGUGUGUGCUGUCACUACCCCAGUUCUGGCCCUGAGGCUCUGAGUCAUCUUUCUGCUAGAGGUCACCCUGGGUUGUUCACUUUUAAGGCGAAUUUCCUGCAAUUCAACACAUUUUGCCAUGGCUUAUGCUAUCUGAGUGCCGUGUCUUGACAUUUUGGGAAUGUCAGAUUCUCCCUGACUGUCUAGUUUUAUUUUGGUGAUUGUUAGUUCUCAAAGAUGAUCUUAUUAAAAUAUAUUGCCAUAUUAUCUUUUCUACAUAUUUUAUAUCUGGUUAUAGUCGUUUAAGUUUACACUGACAAUGUUUUACCAUCCCGAAAAUUAUAUACAUUUUAUAUCCGUAUAUGAAAGUAAAAAGACAUGAGAAUUUACCCCAAUCCUGCUAUCAAACUAUUAAACCAGGCUGACAACAGAAUCCCACAUGUGAUUAAUGAUUUUGUGAGUGUUCCAGGGUAACCCAGUGAUGUAAUGAUGUCGUGAGUGUUCCAGUGUAACCCAGUGUUGUAAUGAUUUUGUGAGUGUUCCAGGGUAACUCAGUGUUGUAAUGAUGUUGUGAGUGUUCCAGGGUAACCCAGUGUUGUAAUGAUGUUGUGAGUGUUCCAGUGUAACCCAAUGUUUCCCUAUAUUAAUUUAUCAUAUACAGUGCAUUCGGAAAGUAUUCAGACCCCUUGACUUUUUCCACAUUGUGUUACGUUACAGCCUUAUUCUAAAAUGGAUUAAAUAAAAAAAGAAUCUUCAUCAAUCUACACACAAUACCCCAUAAUGACAUCACAAUACCCCAUAAUGACAUCACAAUACCCCUUAAUGACAAAGCAAGAUGUUUCUUUGCAAAUGUAUUAAAAUAAAAAAACAGAAAUACCUUAUAAGUAUUCAGACCCUUUGCUAUGGGACUCAAAAUUGAGCUCAGGUGCAUCCUGUUUCCAUUGAUCAUCCUUGAGAUGUUUCUACAACUUGAUUGGAGUCCAUCUGUGGUAAAUUAAAUUGAUUAGACAUAAUGUGGAAAGGCACACACCUGUCUAUACAAGGUCCCACAGUUGACAGUGCAUGUCAGAGCAAAAAACAAACCGUGAGGUCGAAGAAAUUGUCCAUAGAGCUCCGAGACAGGAUUGUGUCGAGGUACAGAUCUGGGGAAGGGUACCAAAACAUUUCUGCAGCCUUGACGGUCCCAAAAACACAGUAGCCUCCAUCAUUCUUAACUGGAAGAAGUUUGGAACCACCAAGACUCCUCCUAGAGCUGGCUGGCCGCCCGGCCAAACUGAGCAAUCGAGGGAUAAGGGCCUUGGUCAGGGAGGUGACAAAGAACCCGAUGGUCACUCUGACAGAGCUCCAGAGUUCCUCUAUGGAGAUGGGAGAAUAGUCAGGAUGGAGGGAAAGAUAAACGUAGCAAAGUACAGAGAGAUCCUUGAUGAAAACCUACUCCAGAGUGCUCAGGAUCUCAGACGGAGGUGCCGCUGCUCAAAGAAUAUAGAGGAAACACUGGGUUACACUGGAACACUCACACCAUCAUUAAUCACAUGUUGUCAGCCUGGUUUGAUAGUUUGAUAGCAGGGUCGAGGGUCAAUUUCCAUUUAAUUCCAGUCAAUUCAGGAAGUACAUUCAAAUGUAUAUUCUCUUCAAUGCUUUUCAAUUGGAAUUUGGUUUUAUUUCUGAAUUGACUGGAAUUAAAAUGGAAUUGACCCCAACCCUGUUUGAUAGUGACUGUAUUGAUGUUGGGGCCAGGGUUUUGGUUUCAUUGAAUAUCUAAGAAGUCGUUAUUCCUUCUACACAAUAAAAUAUGACACAGACAGACAUACACUGGUUUUUUGAUUCAUCCUCUUUUCACUGAAUUUGUGAUAAAGGUAGUUAGAAUUGUGCUGUAGUAUUUCUGUGAUGGUCUGACACCUUGUCUAACUCUUCGGGGGACAGGAGACGUGAUGCUAUGCCUUCUCUCAUUAUGGCCAGUCUACACGACCUACCAUAUAGUUACCUAGUAGCUCCAAUCCCCCUAGUCCUUCACGGUGUGUCGGCCUCCCCUCUCUCCCACCACCACUAGCCCAUCCCCAGAUCCCAGUUUACAGGGAGCAGACAGACAUGUAUCUCUAAUGUAUCUGUAGCGUUGCCUUACGGGCUGAUCCUCUCCUUGUCUACCACUCUGUAAAAACAGCCAGUGAUGUGUCACACUACAAAGUCAAUGAGCUGUGUGAAAUACUGGAGGCACUCUGUUAAAGCUGCUGCUGCCACGCGCAACACACACACACACACACACACACA
Molecule: long non-coding RNA, 2520 nt
Filed under: Salmo salar (Atlantic salmon)
Lineage: Eukaryota; Metazoa; Chordata; Actinopteri; Salmoniformes; Salmonidae
Description: lncRNA (ENSSSAG00000107014.1)
Source: RNAcentral